UUUCCAGCAGCCGCGGUAAUACGUAGGAUGCAAGCGUUGUCCGGAAUUAUUGGGCGUAAAGAGAACGUAGGUGGUUUUCUAAGUUUGGUCUUAAAGACCGGGGCUUAACUCCGGGAAUGGAUCGAAAACUGGGAGACUAGAGGAUGUCAGAGGAAAGUGGAAUUCCGAGUGUAGCGGUGAAAUGCGUAGAUAUUCGGAGGAACACCAGUGGCGAAAGCGACUUUCUGGGGCAUUCCUGACACUGAGGUUCGAAAGCUCGGGGAGCAAACAGGAUUAGAUACCCCCGUAGUCC
Molecule: ribosomal RNA, 292 nt
Filed under: uncultured bacterium
Lineage: Bacteria
Description: partial 16S ribosomal RNA
Rfam family: Bacterial small subunit ribosomal RNA
Source: RNAcentral